This 467-nucleotide ribosomal RNA is filed under the name uncultured bacterium. RNAcentral describes it as "partial 16S ribosomal RNA". It matches the Rfam family "Bacterial small subunit ribosomal RNA", at positions 28 to 523 of the family's 1533-position model. The record is from RNAcentral.
GAUGAACGCUGGCGGCGUGCUUAACACAUGCAAGUCGAGCGGGAAACUUCGGUUUCCAGCGGCGGACGGGUGAGUAACACGUGGGCAACCUGCCUCACAAUGAGGGAUAGCCCUCCGAAAGGAGGAUUAAUACCUCAUAACACAAGAGAAACGCAUGUUUCUCUUGCCAAAGAAUUUCGUUGUGAGAUGGGCCCGCGGCGCAUUAGCUUGUUGGUGAGGUAACGGCUCACCAAGGCUUCGAUGCGUAGCCGACCUGAGAGGGUGAUCGGCCACAUUGGAACUGAGACACGGUCCAGACUCCUACGGGAGGCAGCAGUGGGGAAUAUUGCACAAUGGAGGAAACUCUGAUGCAGCAACGCCGCGUGAGUGAUGAAGGUCUUCGGAUUGUAAAGCUCUGUCUUCUGGGACGAUAAUGACGGUACCAGAGGAGGAAGCCACGGCUAACUACGUGCCAGCAGCCGCGGUAA